GCUGGGCGUGGUGGCCUGUGCCUGUAAUCCCAGCUACUCAGGAGGCUGAGGCAGGAGAAUCGCUUGAACCCGGGGGGCAGAGGUUGCAGUGAGCCGAGAUCGCGCCACUGCACUCCAGCCUGGGUGACAGAGUGAGACUCUGUCUCAA
RNAcentral lists this non-coding RNA (148 nucleotides) under Homo sapiens (human). The record is from Rfam by way of RNAcentral. Lineage: Eukaryota; Metazoa; Chordata; Mammalia; Primates; Hominidae.